AGAGCGAACGCUGGCGGCAGGCUUAACACAUGCAAGUCGAACGGAUCCUUCGGGAUUAGUGGCGGACGGGUGAGUAACACGUGGGAACGUGCCUUUAGGUUCGGAACAACACAGGGAAACUUGUGCUAAUACCGGAUGUGCCCUUCGGGGGAAAGAUUUAUCGCCUUUAGAGCGGCCCGCGUCUGAUUAGCUUGUUGGUGAGGUAAAGGCUCACCAAGGCUACGAUCAGUAGCUGGUCUGAGAGGAUGGCCAGCCACAUUGGGACUGAGACACGGCCCAAACUCCUACGGGAGGCAGCAGUGGGGAAUCUUGCGCAAUGGGGAAACCCUGACGCAGCCAUGCCGCGUGGAUGAUGAAGGUCUUAGGAUUGUAAAAUCCUUUCAGCGGGGACGAUAAUGACGGUACCCGCAGAACGAACGCCCGGCUAACUUCGCGCCAGCAGCCGC
Molecule: ribosomal RNA, 446 nt
Filed under: uncultured bacterium
Lineage: Bacteria
Description: SSU rRNA
Rfam family: Bacterial small subunit ribosomal RNA
Source: RNAcentral